Molecule: ribosomal RNA, 335 nt
Filed under: uncultured bacterium
Lineage: Bacteria
Description: bacterial SSU rRNA
Rfam family: Bacterial small subunit ribosomal RNA
Source: RNAcentral
ACUCCUACGGGAGGCAGCAGUAAGGAAUAUUGCGCAAUGGGCGAAAGCCUGACGCAGCGACGCCGCGUGGGGGAUGAAGGUCCUCGGAUUGUAAACCCCUUUCGGGAGGGAAGAUGGAGCGAGCAAUCGUUCGGACGGUACCUCCAGAAGCAGCCACGGCUAACUUCGUGCCAGCAGCCGCGGUAAUACGAAGGUGGCAAGCGUUGUUCGGAUUUACUGGGCGUACAGGGAGCGUAGGCGGUUCGGUAAGCCCUCUGUGAAAUCUCCAGGCUUAACCUGGAACAGUCGGAGGGGACUGCCGGGCUAGAGGACGGGAGAGGAGCGCGGAAUUCCCG